UACGGAGGGUGCAAGCGUUAAUCGGAAUUACUGGGCGUAAAGGGUGCGUAGGUGGUUUAUUAAGUUAACUGUGAAAUCCCUGGGCUCAACCUGGGAAGGUCAGCUAAGACUGAUAGACUCGAGUAUAGGAGAGGGUAGUGGAAUUUCCGGUGUAGCGGUGAAAUGCGUAGAGAUCGGAAGGAACACCAGUGGCGAAGGCGGCUACCUGGCCUAAUACUGACACUGAGGCACGAAAGCGUGGGGAGCAAACAGGAUUAGAUACCCUGGUAGUCCACGCUGUAAACGAUGUCAACUAGCUGUUGGUCUUAUAAAUGAGAUUAGUGGCGCAGCAAACGCGAUAAGUUGACCGCCUGGGGAGUACGGUCGCAAGAUUAAA
This 376-nucleotide ribosomal RNA is filed under the name uncultured bacterium. Its description in RNAcentral is "bacterial SSU rRNA". It matches the Rfam family "Bacterial small subunit ribosomal RNA", at positions 524 to 898 of the family's 1533-position model. The record is from RNAcentral.